CAGUCGCCGCGGGAAUACGGAGGAUCCAAGCGUUAUCCGGAAUCAUUGGGUUUAAAGGGUCCGUAGGCGGUCUUGUAAGUCAGUGGUGAAAGCCCAUCGCUCAACGGUGGAACGGCCAUUGAUACUGCAGGACUUGAAUUAUUGGGAAGUAACUAGAAUAUGUAGUUUAGCGGUGAAAUGCUUAGAGAUUACAUGGAAUACCAAUUGCGAAGGCAGGUUACUACCAAUUGAUUGACGCUGAUGGACGAAAGCGUGGGUAGCGAACAGGAUUAGAUACCCCGGUAGUCCCUGUCUCUUAUAC
Molecule: ribosomal RNA, 301 nt
Filed under: uncultured bacterium
Lineage: Bacteria
Description: partial 16S ribosomal RNA
Rfam family: Bacterial small subunit ribosomal RNA
Source: RNAcentral